Molecule: long non-coding RNA, 1818 nt
Organism: Oreochromis niloticus (Nile tilapia)
Lineage: Eukaryota; Metazoa; Chordata; Actinopteri; Cichliformes; Cichlidae
Source: Ensembl
UUUAUUUGCAUGUAUGUGUAGCUCUAUUUAUAUGUAUUAUAUUAAAACUUAUGUGAUGUGUAUGCUAAAAAAAACUUUACUAUAACUCAUUACUGACAGGCAGAGGUAGGAAGUAACAAAGUAAAAAUAUUUUGUCUGUAAUUGAGUAGUUAUUUUUUUAGCAACUUUUUACUUUUACUCCCCUCAUUUUAAAAUAAAUCUCUGUAUGUUCUACUCCUUACAUUUACAAAAAACCUUUUGAAAGCAAUUUCACCACCAUCAUGUGUCAAAUAAAUUUCUCAGCUUGAACAAUAAGUUGAUUCAUCAGAUGAUGUUGCAGCAGUAAAUGGGCUGGGGUGUUUUUUAAGCAUUCAGGUUUUGCAUUUUCACAUAGAAUUCCUGUGAAGUAAAACAGGCAAAUAUCUGUGAAACAAAAGUGAAAGCCUGACGUAAAAAUGCAAGCGAAAAUAAUAGUUUCAUCAUCUCAGUUGACAUAAUAGGAACAACACUGGAACACACCUUAACACACCCACACACAUGGAGGAGAUGAGCAAAAUGGGAGGUGGAAACAGCAGUGUAUAUUUAAAGGACAAAGGAGCUCUGAUCAUUUAUUCAUUCACCAGCUUCUUUUCACAUUACAGGUAAGUCUGAAAAUUAAAACUGGUCAUCUCAUAGUUUAUUUUAAGACUUUUAGAAAAUGGUUUGAAAAUUUUACAAAAUGGUUGCAGUUCAGUAGUUUCAGCAUUUCUUUGUAAGUUGUGUGUUCUUCACACAUCUUGAUGUUGUAAAUCUUGUUAUUUAAAAUAAUAAUGAAGCUAGAAUUUAAAACUCUCCAGUGUGGAAAUGUAUUAUUCACCUCUUUUUCCUAACACGUAAAUUUCCUUUUUAGAGACAGAUUUAAACAGAACAGCGAUGGCAGCAGCAGCUUUGGCCUCAAGCAGUGGAGUGACUGUUUCCCGCACCACCAAAGGCCUUGUUCUCAUGUUCACCCUGCUGUGUCUGGUUUGCCUUUCAAGUGCCCUGAUAGACAAGGACCAACUGGAACAACUCAGAGAAACCUAUCAGAAAACACAACAACAAAUAGAAAAACUGAAGGCUGAGCAUGAGGAAGAAGUGGCCUCCACUACAGAGCUGAUGAAUGAAUACAUGAGCUUUAUGGACCCGAUGAUCGCACUGAUGAAGAAAACGAUGCAAGCAUCACAUGAUGCUGAUUUUCCUCCACUAGAUAAAUUUAUGGAGAACUUUAAGAAUUACAUGAAGCAAACUAAAGCUAAACUAAAGCUUACGUUAACAGGAAGCACGACUUGAGGAAAGUGAAAAGAAACUUGGAAAAACUAAGAAAUUUAUUGAAUUUCUUGAGGAACAGGAAGCUGAUUUGUAACUUAAAUGUCAGGGGUUUUUUUUCUUUUUCUCUCCUUUUCUCUAAUAGUAUCUAUUUAGUUCCUGUGUCAUGUAGUACUUUGUAAAACUAUGGUUUAACUUUUUCUGUCAUCCUUCAUUACAGUUUGACAUAAAGUAACCUAGGAUUUUGCUAUUAGCUACAACUGUUCAGAGGAUAUUAUGGGUUGAAUAUAACUUUUAAGGAAUACAUCUGUGGCACUCCCAUCUUUUUCUGACAUGUCUUGUCUUCAGAAGUGGAAACAAUGUUUAUAUAGACUGACACAUAAUAAAGACAUAUACCGACUUUUAGUCUUGUUUUUGUCAAAAUAUCUACAGUGGUGUGAAAAAGUGUUUGCCCCCUUCCUCAUUUACUAGUGUUUUAGCACAUUAGAAUAUUUGUCACACUUAACUGUAGCUGUUUCAGAUAAUCAAACAAAUUUUAAUAUUAGACAAAUGCCA